AUGCUGAAGGGACGCGCUACCUGCCCGGGCUCCUCCGGCGGGGGCUGGGGACCCCNNNNNNNNNNNNNNNNNNNNGCGCCGAGGGGGGACGGGGGGGCCGGCUCCGAUCGUGUGGGGGGCUGCGGGGGGCGAGGGGCACGCCUGCACACGCGUGUGCGUGUCCGUGUGUCCGUGUCCGUGUGUCCGUGUCCGUGUGUGUGUGUGUGUGUGUGUCCCCGCGUGGCAGCCUCCCCGGCCUCCGCGGCCGGCAGGGGUAGGCGCAGCGCGGGGGGUGAAAGUCCGGGUCUAGCCGGGCAGGAAUUCAGCUCUGCCCCGGUGUGUUUACACGCACCAUCUGCCCAAGGAUUUUGUGUUUAUUUAUUUAUUUAUUUAUUUAUUUAUCUAUUCAUUUAUUUUUCCUCUCCCGUACGCUAGGGGAACCGGCUGAUUUCACUUCCUCAUCCCCUUUUCUGAUAACGCGCUUCGUGAUUAUUUUUUUCUUGUGAGCCCGUCACAGUCCAGGCGUGUUGCCGUACGUAAAAAGGGACCAUGUAAAGGGCACUUAAAAAGCAGGUACAGUAUGAGAGGCAAGGUCUCGUCCACAUCGGUGUGAAAACGGAAAUAAUCCACCUGGAAUAUUGGUCAGGGCACCAGUCAGUUACAUGGCAUUUUCUGAAAGGAAUGAAGUUCCCUACCCAGUUCAGAAGGAAAGGGUUAAACAGAGGAAUAACCAUGCUCUAUGCAACUAAUAUUUAAGGGAUAAAGUUUUCAUAUUAUGUUCUUUCUUGCCGAUUUAUACAGCACCAUUCCCACAUCCCUUAUCAAAGCAAGGUAUCUUGCCUCAGUAAGGACCUCACUGGAGUAAAAUGAGUGACAAUUCACGUGGAUGGCAGACUGCAGAUAGGCACCACCUCACCUCAUCUUACAAAAGCUAACAUGCAUAACUCUGCAACAGAGUAUCACAUUGGCUUUGCAACCCACCUAGCAAAAUAACUUCAUUUUGUAAACAUCAUUGCUCGUUCUGAAGCUGAAGAAUUCAAAUGUUAAGUACUAGACUUAUAUAGUGAAGUGUAGAUCAAAAUUAAGUCAAUGAGAGUUUUGAAGAAUUCUGAGUAAAACACAUUUCCGUAAAAUGCAGGCAGCUACAACUUAACAGCAACGAUGAGGCCAAUUUGCGCUGAAAUUCUGAAAAUACUUCUGUGAAAAUAAAGAGGGAGUUAUGUCUGUGUCA
RNAcentral lists this long non-coding RNA (1210 nucleotides) under Anser cygnoides (Swan goose). RNAcentral's name for it is "lncRNA (ENSACDG00005015220.1)". Lineage: Eukaryota; Metazoa; Chordata; Aves; Anseriformes; Anatidae. The record is from RNAcentral.